UACACAAUCCCAAACCCCCAAACCCACAGUGUUCAUUUCCCGUUUCCUCUCUCAAUCCAAACACACCAAAACCCCCAAACCCACCAUGUUCAUUUCCCCUCUCCUCUUCUCUCAACUCAAGAAAACAGAGAAGGAGAACCAAGGAAAGAAAACGAAAGACAACAGAGAGGGAGUGAGCGGUUAGGGUUUUGUACCAAUGGUGGAGGGUGAUGUGAAAAAGGGGGUCAUUAAGUGCUUACAUUUGGGUUUAUUGCUCCGAUUGAUGUAAGCGGACAUGUCUUUGUUCACCAAUCAGCUAUAAAAUUUAAGGGUUUUCACAGCCUCGUUGAAGGAGAGACGGUGUUCGUUCGUUGUGGAGGAUGGCCGACCCUAUGCGUCGAAAGUGACGAGCCCUCAUGGUGCCCCUGUGCACCCUUGGUUGAAGCAGCAGUGGGGGUGGAUACAACACGAAAUUCAAGAAAGAAAACCUUACUGGGUUUUGAAAAAACAAAGCAACAGAGAAGAAAGGUCAAGAAAAAAGGAAAAGAAAUUAAUUGGAGGACUUCUCUAUUUGUAUCUAUGUGAGCAAGCUUGUGGAUUUGUAUAAGGGAAGUUCGGAGGAAUGGUUGUAGAAGGCGGUAGAGCAUGAGGGAGUCAUCAAGGCUUUAGAACUACUAAUGGAGUGUGUAUGAAGUGGCAACUAGGAGGAACACUACAGCUGUACUGGGAGGGCUGGGACUUUGAAAACAAUAACACACAUGAUGAUUAAAGAAAGUAGAAAGUGUUU
Non-coding RNA from Sesamum indicum (sesame), 766 nucleotides. NCBI's taxonomy places the organism in Eukaryota, Viridiplantae, Streptophyta, Magnoliopsida, Lamiales, Pedaliaceae. The record is from RefSeq and is a predicted model, not a curated record.